CCUACGUGUGGCAGCAGUAGGGAAUCUUCCACAAUGGGCGAAAGCCUGAUGGAGCAACGCCGCGUGGGUGAAGAAGGUCUUCGGAUCGUAAAACCCUUUUGUUCGAGAAGAAAGUGCGUGAGCUUAACUGCUCACGUUUCGACGGUAUCUAACCAGAAAGCCACGGCUAACUACGUGCCAGCAGCCGCGGUAAUACGUAGGUGGCAAGCGUUAUCCGGAUUUAUUGGGCGUAAAGGGAACGCAGGCGGUCUUUUAAGUCUGAUGUGAAAGCCCUCGGCUUAACCGGGGUAGUGCAUUGGAAACUGGGAGGCUUGAGUGCAGAAGAGGGGAGUGGAACUCCAGGUGUAGCGGUGAAAUGCGUAGAUAUCGGGAAGAACACCGGUGGCGAAGGCGGCGCUCUGGUCUGUAACUGACGCUGAGGUUCGAAAGCGUGGGUAGCAAACAGGAUUAGAUACCCGAGUAGUC
Molecule: ribosomal RNA, 465 nt
Filed under: uncultured bacterium
Lineage: Bacteria
Description: partial 16S ribosomal RNA
Rfam family: Bacterial small subunit ribosomal RNA
Source: RNAcentral